Molecule: unclassified non-coding RNA, 270 nt
Filed under: Hevea brasiliensis (rubber tree)
Lineage: Eukaryota; Viridiplantae; Streptophyta; Magnoliopsida; Malpighiales; Euphorbiaceae
Source: RNAcentral
UGGACUGAAACGAUAUCUCCUGUGUAAACUUUUCCCUAGCAUCUUUCAAAACCUCCUUAUAGAAUUUGGCUUGCGAGGACCAUCGGGUUUCUGCUAGAGCAGCAGAGGAAGCCAAAGGCGAAAUGCACAUUCCCAAUUUAGGUGCCUUUGUACUUGCAGAAGCAGCAGCCAAUUUGUUCCAUUUUCCUUUCUCGUUCCCAAUCCAACAUCCAACGCGACCAUCAAAAUUACACCUGCUGCAAAUGUCUAAAGAAACCAUAGCUACUGAAG